AGGAGAGCCGAAACAAGAGGAAAGCACAAAUAAACUGGGGCCAGGCAGGGUCUGGGGCCGUGGGAUGAGGGGUUUAGGGACACACGGGUGCCAUGUCCCAGCGUGAGGGCUGUUUGUGGGCAGAGCAGUCAGCGGGACAAGGGGCCUCUGGUGUGUUUUCACCUGCUGCAACCUCAGCCUUUGCUGCCUUGCUGAAACUUCUGCUUUUGGAUCUUCAGAGAAAUCUUUGGAGUGCACUCUGCAGUGGGAGAAGUGAGAGAAUCUGAGCGACAUCCUGCAAGACUGGAGAUGGAGAGGAAGAAGUUUGAGCCUUCUCAGUGAACUUAAGCUUUCCUGCCACAGGGGAGCUGGUGGAAAAAGUCCAGAAAAGAUUCCUCCAGGUGUGAAGUCUGAUGUCAGUCAGCUUCAGAGAAACAUCACCAGCUGAGCUGAGGAUCUGCAAGCAGCUCUCAGAAGUGGGGAAAAUGGACAACCCUGCUGGUAUCUUGUGAGCCCUUGUCACAGAACAGAGCUUGAACAAUUUCGAUUAAAGCAGUAUGUUCGAGACUGUCAUUAGACCUGCAUUAAAUUACAUAUCUGGAAUGUUAAAAAUAAAGAGUACUGAAGCUUAUUCACAGCUGCCUGUGGUAAAGUAUGUAGUCAAGGUUUUUAUUAUCUUUGAAGUUCUUAUUUUUCUCUUUUCUAAAACUUAUUGUUUCAUCAAACAAAUACCUAGCACAUUUAAGAACAGUGUGAGCACACGAGCAGAAUUGCUGGAGCUGGAUAAAGCAUUAGCGUGUUUCCAUUCUGUGCUCACUUGUAUUGUUUAGUACUAACAAUGGUAAUUUAUCAAUUAUACAGGAGGGAACAAAGCCCUCCACUGUCUCACAGCUCCAAACGUACCUGGUGCAAGGCCCAAAGCUGGAGAUCCUUCCAGACCUUGGGAGGCACCAUUUACCAUGAGCAUUUGCAGGGCCAGCAUUUGCCUUGUCCCCUUGCAGUGACCCCAUGGAGGUUGCUCAGUACUCAGCUCCAAGACUUCCGUGGCUUUUUUCCUAAAUCAGGAAAAUUAAAACCUUUUUUCUUUCUGACCUGGGGACCUUGAUAAUGACAUACCACAGCCUGUUCUUGUCUAGUUGGUGAGACCGUCCAGUCCCUCUUGUCAUGUUAUUUGUGGUGGCUUUAGAGACUUUCACACCGAUCUGAACGAUAAACCCCAAACUUUUGGAUACUGCUCAGCCAGGACAAACCCCAAAACAUGGUGUGUUUGACAAUUAAUUGUCUAUACAGCAGCUUUGUUAUGCACUGCUGAGAUGCACAAAAUCAUCUAUAAAAGGAUCAGACUGGCUACUUUGAUCUGAUUCUAUAAAGUGCUUUGUGAUCAUAAUGUGAAUAUAACAGCACAAGUAAAAAUAUCUCUGUUUUAUUAAGAGUUUCAAUUAAAGUGUUUAAUACACAGAUUUUAUCGUGAGAGAGGCAUCACAAAGACUGAGUACAACAUAAUGGCAAGCCAGGUAUUGUUAUGAUUAUCAUUAUUAUUAUUUAUAUAUGAUCACUGAAGUACUAAGUGAAAACUGGGAAAUGGAGUUCCUGAGCCCCAAAGAGCUCACAGUAACAGCUGUUUUUGGAGAAUGCAACAAUAGCAGACCAGCUCUGCUUCAUGGAGCAAUUAAUGGUGCAUACAGCCCAGUCUGGAAGUUCCUGGUCCUGAAUGGGUUUUCCCAUUUUCAAAGACCAAAGAAGGUAACAUUUCAGUUGGAUCCUGCCUUUUUUAUUCUGGUGCCUCUUACUCUUCCCACUGCCUCUUUUCUCUGCCUGUUGGUGUGAAGGGCACCCCUGCACUUUAGAACUGUGAUGUGUCUGUUUAUCCAGCAAAGCAGCUGGAAACUCCUCAGCCAAGUGGUAUUUGCCUUUGCAAGGGAAAGAUAUUCUGCCUUCCUCACUUGUCCUUCCCAUCAGAGAUUUUCAAGUGUCUUUGGCAUCCUAAAAGCUAAAGUGGAGCUUUCUAUUGAGAUUUAAACCGAGUGUAAAUCUUUCAAAAGCAGAAAGCCCAAGGGGGGCUGUAUCAUCAGAGCAGUCAAUGAGCAGAGCAGGGGCAGGGCUGGCCCAAACCCAUGGUCCUUACACCAAAGAGCUGUGACCUCAUGUAACACACAGAGCUCUCUUUGGCUUUGGCUGUUCCCUAAUCCUGACCCCUGACCAACACCUGAUGGCAACAAGAAAGUUUUUCUUCAUCCUUAUCUUGGCCAUCAUUCCCUGGAAGAUUCCAGAUGCUGAGCUCAACACCCUAAAAAAAGAAGCUGGGGAGUUGUCCACUAGGAUUUAUAAAGAUGGGAUGCUUGGAAGUUAAAUCUUCCAACCACUCUAGUGCACCACAGUGUAAGACAAAGAGCAGGAGAUAAAUUUUCCUGCCUUUGAAAUUCCUGUUCAUGUCACUCUCUGAGCUAAUUUUUACCAUUUUGACUCUGGUGAGAAGAGCUAUUCCAACGUGAGCCUCCUGCACUGCAGUGCAGGGAUGAAGCUAAGGAUGAGAAAUUGGAGCACUGUCAGGAUUACACCCAGGUCAGAUUUUUCAUUCUGCUAAAAGUUGCUUUUUUGACAUGGGAAUCAGGAAAAUACAUUGAUGCAACAUGUUGAAAAGGACCAAAAGGUUGUUAUUUGCUCUCACCAAUACAGAGAGACACAACCCUCCUGUAAAGGGAAAAUAUUUUCCAGUGAAAACACAAGCUUUGACACUGAGUGCAAAAUAAUGGGAGGGCCCAAGAGGGGCUUUUGUGGAGCUCCUCAGGGAGAGGGGGCUUCCCAUGGGCUUUUUUGCUCCUGUCUGUAGGGUGAGCUCACAAAUGUUUGAGUAGAGAAGGCUGCAGGCUUCCAAAUUAAAAAUAAUAUAUAUAUAUAUAUAUAAAAGGGAUUGGCUAUUUUUCUUUCUCAUGGAUGAGGUUAUAAGGUUAAUAAAAGAGUUAAUCCCAGCCUGCUCUGCACAAGGGAACAGCUCACAUUUGUGAGACUUCAAAAGGCUUUGGAGUGUCUGUGUAUGGAUGUUGUUAUUUCCUGUCAGGGCUAUCCCAAGAAGAUGGGGGCUGGGAGCUGAUUUUUGGAAGAAGAGUUUGGCCUUUAACUAAAUCAGCUGGAGUGAAAACAAAAAGGUUAGUACAAAAUAAUUUUGAGAGUGAACUCCAAUUUAAUAAAAUUCUGGGUAUUUGUUUCUUUUUUUUUUUCCCCCCGUAAGAAUCUAAAAUUAAAACUUACUACAGAGCAGUGGAGGCUGACCAGAGCAUUUCAACCAGAUGGCCCAGAGAAUCUGAUUGGGUUUGUUUUUGUGUUUUUUUUUUUAAAUCAUUACAUGACUUUAAUUUUUAAAUAUGUUAAUUGUUUCAAUUAAAAAAAAAAAAAAGUAAAUUUAGGAAAUAUUCAGCAAAUUGAAACAAAAGAAGUAUAGUAGUGAGAAAUUAUCAUUUUAGUGAAUGGUUUGGUGUAAACACAGAAGACCUGGAGAGCAUUCUGCCUGCCAGUCUUGUACUGAGCCAAGGGAAACGUGGCCCAAGCUCUCCUGCUGACAAACCCCUUGGCAGGGGUGCCGCUGCCCUGUUUCAGAAGUGCGGGUUUUGGCGCUGGCAGUUUCCAGGGAUUUGCUCCGCCUGCUCCACGGUGCUGCUGGGCGGGCAGAGACAGAGCCAUGGCAGGGAGGGCUGGUCACAGAACAGGUUCCUCUGCUGUGGUGCACUUGGGGCAGGCAGGACACACCUGAGCUCCGGGCCUGUGGCUGCGCAGGAGCGCUGGCACUGCCCUGCUCCCUGUCCCUGAUGCAGCACCGGGCAGUGAUUUACAGGGAGAGCUGGGUGUCCAUUUGCUUCCCAGCACUGAGGGAAUGAUUACUGCACAGCAUAGAAAAUUACAUCAGGCCUUGUCAGGCUUUUCUAGAGAAAUAAAUUCCACAGCCUGGGUUCCUUAUACCCUUCCCUGGCUUGGUGCCUCCCUGCACAGCUGAGGGUCCAUGCUCAGACACAGAGUAAAUGUUACAGUCGAUAUCCCUCAGCAGAGAAACUGCACUGCAAUUCCUUUUUUUCUACUUUUCUUCCUCUUGCACGAGGCUCCUGUGCUACCAGCUAACCAUUUCCUAUAAGAAAAUGGCAUUGUGUUAAAGUUAUAUAGUGUAUCAUAUUAAAUUUUAUAACAGUGCUUUGUGUUUUGAAAAGACUUUGGGGGGAAACAGCAUCAAUCAGGGAACCACAUUUGAUAGACUUGGAAGGGGCCUCCUGGGUCAUUUUGUCCAAGACCUCUAUGAAGCAGGAAAGCUUCUGCAAAAUACCUUUCCCAUAAAUGUAUCUAACCUUUCCUUAAAGACACUGAGUGAUUGUGCCAUAAAUACCUCAAGCAGCUAAACCAGUCUGAUUGACCUUACGAUCAGAAAGUGUCUCCUAAUACCGUACAGAAGGUACAAUUUUCCAUUCUUCCAGCUGCAGCUAAGCAAGAAAAAAGGGCAAAUACACAGUAAUGGCCAACAAUACAGACUGUGCAAACAGUUUUACUUUCACUUUACUGCCAUCACCUACCAUAAAUCUGGAUGUACCCACUGAUACUUGGUUUCCCAGUGUAGUGUCUGUGAUCCUUGCAGUAUCCAUCUCACUUUAACUUUUGGAGAGCCACCAUUACAGAGUGGAGAAAUAAGGAAGAUGGACGAGCAGCACUUUCUGAUUCAGGAAGCCAUUUGAAACCCGAUGCUGUGUAGUUAAAGUAUUUAUUUCUAUUCACUAUUUAUUAGAAUUUGUGAGGUGUUUCUUGUCAGGACCAUGGGAGUAGGGGAAGCACAGGGCUUUCUAUGGUCUGUCAGAGUGUCAAAGAACAAUUUUUAUUCUCCUUCAGUAAUUGUGUACAUUGAAAAAUAAAUGCCUGGUAGUUUGGCUGUUUGUUGCUGCAAUAGCAGUGCCUUGUGUGCUGCUAUGCCUUCUUUUUCUCAGUGAGUAUUAGAAGUGUCAUUUUGGGUAGAUGUGUUAUUAAAUCACAGACACACUCAUUGCUGAGAGCUUCCUGAGCUGCACAUAAACUACCUUUGGCUUGGAUUUUUUUGUCUUUUUUGUUGGUUUUUUUUUUUUUUUUUUUUUUGCAAGCACCAAAGGAAGGUGGCAGAGCUGAAGGCCAGUUGUUCCAGCACCUCUUUUCAUCAGGUGUCCCCCAGUUGUACUUCUCCCACACACAGGACUGCUGCAAAACGG
Molecule: RNA transcript, 5192 nt
Organism: Cyanistes caeruleus (blue tit)
Lineage: Eukaryota; Metazoa; Chordata; Aves; Passeriformes; Paridae
Source: RefSeq, a predicted model, not a curated record